This 503-nucleotide ribosomal RNA is filed under the name uncultured bacterium. RNAcentral describes it as "partial 16S ribosomal RNA". It matches the Rfam family "Bacterial small subunit ribosomal RNA", at positions 29 to 507 of the family's 1533-position model. The record is from RNAcentral.
AACGAACGCUGGCGGCGUGCCUAACACAUGCAAGUCGAACGAGAAAGGGGCUUCGGCUCCGAGUAAAGUGGCGCACGGGUGAGUAACACGUGGGUAACCUGCCUCUAAGAUUGGGAUAACUCGUCGAAAGAUGAGCUAAUACCGAAUAAGACCACAGUUCCCGCGGGAACAGGGGUCAAAGGUAGCCUCUGCUUGCAAGCUAUCACUUAGAGAUGGGCCUGCGCACCAUUAGCUAGUUGGUAGGGUAACGGCCUACCAAGGCAAAGAUGGUUAGCUGGUCUGAGAGGAUGAUCAGCCACACUGGAACUGAGACACGGUCCAGACUCCUACGGGAGGCAGCAGUGGGGAAUAUUGCGCAAUGGGCGAAAGCUUGACGCAGCAACGCCGCGUGAGUGAUGAAGGCCUUCGGGUCGUAAAGCUCUGUCGGGAGGAACGAAUGCUCCUGAGGUUAACAGCCUCGGGAGGUGACGGUACCUUCAAAGGAAGCACCUGCUAACUCUGUG